CCCUUAGAUGUUCUGGGCCGCACGCGCGCUACACUGAAGGAAUCAGCACGUCUUUCUCCUUGUCCGAAAGGACUGGGUAACCCGCUGAACCUCCUUCGUGCUAGGGAUUGGGGCUUGUAAUUCUUCCCCAUGAACGAGGAAUUCCCAGUAAGCGCGAGUCAUAAGCUCGCGUUGAUUACGUCCCUGCCCUUUGUACACACCGCCCGUCGCUACUACCGAUUGGAUGGUUUAGUGAGAUCCUCGGAUUGGUCCCGGCGCGGCCUCUGGUCGUGCCGGAGUGCCGAAAAGAAUGUCGAACUUGAUCAUCUAGAGGAAGUAAAAGUCGUAACA
RNAcentral lists this ribosomal RNA (330 nucleotides) under uncultured eukaryote. RNAcentral describes it as "partial 18S ribosomal RNA". It matches the Rfam family "Eukaryotic small subunit ribosomal RNA", at positions 1470 to 1796 of the family's 1831-position model. The record is from RNAcentral.